AGCGAACGCUGGCGGCAGGCCUAACACAUGCAAGUCGAACGAACUCUUCGGAGUUAGUGGCGGACGGGUGAGUAACACGUGGGAACGUGCCUUUUGGUUCGGAAUAACUCAGGGAAACUUGUGCUAAUACCGAAUGUGCCCUUCGGGGGAAAGAUUUAUCGCCAUUAGAGCGGCCCGCGUCUGAUUAGCUAGUUGGUGAGGUAACGGCUCACCAAGGCGACGAUCAGUAGCUGGUCUGAGAGGAUGACCAGCCACACUGGGACUGAGACACGGCCCAGACUCCUACGGGAGGCAGCAGUGGGGAAUCUUGCGCAAUGGGCGAAAGCCUGACGCAGCCAGGCCGCGUGAAUGAUGAAGGUCUUAGGAUUGUAAAAUUCUUUCACCGGGGACGAUAAGGACGGUACCCGGAGAAGAAGCCCCGGCGAACUUCGU
Molecule: ribosomal RNA, 432 nt
Filed under: uncultured bacterium
Lineage: Bacteria
Description: partial 16S ribosomal RNA
Rfam family: Bacterial small subunit ribosomal RNA
Source: RNAcentral